Molecule: non-coding RNA, 1977 nt
Organism: Podarcis lilfordi (Lilford's wall lizard)
Lineage: Eukaryota; Metazoa; Chordata; Lepidosauria; Squamata; Lacertidae
Source: the annotation of a GenBank genome assembly
GUGGGAAGUUGCGUUUGACUAUGAGGUUCUGAAACCAGGCCACGCUUCACCAGAUGGCCGGGGACGUUGCACAGGAGAGGAGAAGCUGGAGGACCUGCCAGCCUUUGUGUUUGAUAUGAGCAUGACCAGCCACAGCUACAGCAUCUACAAUGCAGUCUCUUCUGUGGCACAGGCGUUGCAUGACCUGUACACAUCUGCAUCGAAACACAAAAACACAGAAGAUGGAAAGGGGGCAUUUCUUCUGAACCUGCAACCAUGGCAGGAACCAUUCUAUUCCCGCUUGCUCCUGAUUUUCUCCCAGCAGAGUUUCAGAAAUCCAAGUCAACAGACCACCAAGUUAGUGUGAACAUCGCUUGUUGGAUUGUCUUGGUCCUGCCCCUCACAAGAUGUUUUCUAAACUGUAUUGUUUACAUCUGCAAACGUUGGGGUUCUCCUGGGCCUGAUGGUGCCUCUGCCAUUAUGUGCCACUUGGAGAACAGAGGAUGCUAUUAGUUCAUGGAUGGAGCUAGAGCAGCGGUUCUCAACCUGUGGGUCCCCAGAUGUUGUUGGACUACAACUCCCAUCAUCCCUGACCACUGGUCAUGCUGGCUCAGAAUGAUGGGAGUUGUAGUUCAACAACAUCUGGGGACCCACAGGUUGAGAAACACUGAGCUAGAGAGAGAUUGUGCAUUUCUGUAUCACCAAGACUGGGUUUUAGCUGCUAGAUCUCUAAACUUUGUUUUCUACAUCUGCAAACAUUGGGGUUCUCCAGGGCCUGAUGCCGUUAUGUGUCAUGUGGAGAAUGGAGGAUGCUAUUAGUUCAUGGAUGGAGCUAGAAAUGAUUAUGUCCUUUCCUUUACUCCAUCUCUGAGAUGCAGGGGGAAAUGGAACUCCCAUUAGCUGGAAUGUUUCGAUCCAAUCCAUGGCCCCUUGCCAACCCACCCCUACCAACAAUGUUUCAUUCCAGAUCCAUUAUUCUUUGAGGAACAUCCGCUUCAACAACAGCACUGGGGAUGAAAUCUCCUUUGGGGAACAUGGGAUGGAGUCUGCCGGGUUCGAUAUCAUCAACUGGGCCAUCUUCUCGAACAAAUCUAUGGCGUGGAGGAACGUGGGGUGGAUGGACCCUGGGGCUGCUGCAGGAGCAGAUUUUGAGAUGGACCCAGAUGUCAUUGUAUGGGCUAACCAGGUGGGGACCAAACUGGGUGGAAACAGAGCGGUAGCCACUGGAGCUGCUGUAGCAAGGAAGUCCUCUGCUCACUAUAACUAACCGCCGUCCAUUAACCCAACUAGGCUUUGGGAAGGAGGAGGGAGAACUCCAGAACCCUGUCCAAGCCCCCACACCUCUUUUCUGAAGCCAGCAUUUACAGGCUUUGAGAAGGAGGUGGGAAAGCGACCUGUCAGCUCAGAACCCGGUGUGGGGGAACUGGUCGCACUGGCCUAACUGUGCUGGGCCCAGGGGUAACCCGAGUAAGAGGUCCAGGUCCAGUCCUGUUAUGUAAUGAGUUGAAUAGGAUUCAAACUGCAGCAGUCUGAUUGGUCCUAGAACAAUGCAGCAGUAUGAUUGGUUGGUAGGAGCCACCCAAUCCAGCUCCAGAUAGAAGUGAAUCCACAACCUGAUUGGCCUACAGGAGAAUUCCGGAAUUAGCCAAUCACGUGCAGCCCAUUGUGUAAAUAAUGUAUAUAAAGCAGAUACUUUGAGGGGACAUUCAUUCCCUCCUCACCACUAUGAGCUGAAUAAAGAGCAUGAAAUCCACUAUCGACUCUGAGUAUAUUUCACUGGCAACGAAGGUGGGAUCCCGCUGAGCUGACCGCCACACACAGCACCGCAGCACCGCCACGUGCCGCACCGCUGCCUCGCACCGUGUAUCCAGGCUUCAGCUCCGGGACACAAGGAACUCAGAAUGGCAACCGACAGCAGCUUCUCGCCAUUCAACCCAGCAUCCGGAGACUGGGAAGCGUAUGCCUCCCGUUUCACCUUCCUCCUAAAAGCCAAAGGGG